Pyrus x bretschneideri (Chinese white pear) is the source of this 4750-nucleotide RNA transcript. It is a transcript of the gene named probable galacturonosyltransferase 7, with no coding region annotated. The record is from RefSeq and is a predicted model, not a curated record. NCBI's taxonomy places the organism in Eukaryota, Viridiplantae, Streptophyta, Magnoliopsida, Rosales, Rosaceae. The transcript has 11 exons.
GGAGACAACGGUAAGCUCUUCUUUUCUUCUCUUUUUCUUUUCAGAAAAAAAAGGAAGAACAAGGUCACAGUUUGUUGUGCUAAAAGUAGGAAAAUCCAAUCCGUGCCGGACUGUCCAAUCCAGUCCAAUCCCAUCCCAUCCAGCUUUUGAUUCGGAAUCGAAGUGAGAGAGACAGUGAGCUCAGAAACAACCAAUCAAAUCAUUAGAAAUGAUGAUUCGUGCCACAGAGGAAGCACCGCGUUUCACUUGUUGAUGCGACGGCGACGGCGACGGCGUUUGGGAGUGCGAGUGCGAGUGGGACUUCGCAUUUGAUGUUGACACUGCAACAACAACCGGAUGAGGAGGAAGAAGAAGAAGGAUUAGUGUUAAUUGUGGUGGAUUUGGUGCUUAAUCGCGGCAAUGAAAUCGGAUUAGGUGGGGCUGGCGGAGCAAUGAAGGGCGGGGUUGCGGGCGGUAGUUAUUCCGGGAAGCGGCGAUGGAAGGGGUUGGUGAUUGGAGUGUUGGGUCUGGUUUUUCUUUCCAUGCUCGUUCCUCUUCUCUUACUUCUCGGCCUUCACAAUGGCUUUCACCCUCCCGGAUAUGUACCAGAACAACGAAAUUCGCCUUCAGGGGGUGGCUCGAAGCAUGUAGAUGAUUUCGUGAAAAAUUUCACACCAACCCUUUCAAAGGAUAUGCUAAAGAAUAUUUCACAUAAAGUUAUUUCACGUAAAGCUGAAAAUGAAACCAAAAAUAUCAGUGUCGUUCACAACAAUGAACAAGCCAGUGUCGUCCACAGCAAUGAACAAUCAAAAGGCCUGUUAAUUAACUGCGGAGUUUCAGCUCCACCUCAUGAUGGUCCGCACUCGCUUCCCAUUGAAAAUAACUCUAAAGCUGGUGACUCAGCUCAAAUCAUUGAUUAUGCGAAAGGUGGUGUGGAUCAAAGUGGAAAAUCAUGCGUGUUGAAGUUUGGGAGCUACUGCCUUUGGCGUGAACGACAUAGAGAAGACAUGAAGGAUGCUAUGGUGAAGAGAUUGAAGGUUCAACUAUUUGUGGCUCGAGCAUAUUUUCCUAAUGUCAUGAAACUUCCAUCACGGGACAAGUUGUCUCGUGAGCUGAGACAAAAUAUUCAGGAGGUGGAGCGUGUUCUUGGUGAAAGUACUACAGAUGUUGAUCUUCCCCAACAGUAUGCGCGUUUGGGCACGAACACCAUCUCUUACAUAUGAGUUAUCCUUGAGGAGAUGCAUAUGAAUUGGAUUGCAGCUGAGGCAACUAUUUUGUCGCUGUCCCAGACUCCCCAACCAUGCCAGGCAUGUAAUUCAUUAUUGGUACGUUAAAGUAUGUUAAACACAAGUUUUGGUUUUUUUGUUCCGUAAUUAGCUAUGUAUUUGCCUUAAUCUGCAUGUGUGUAGUGUAGAUAAUCUCAACCAACAUUAUAGAAUCCAUGUUCUGUGAAAAAAUUAGAAUGUUCUGAGAUGGAAAAGGUUACGAUAAAUUGGAAGGUAGAAAUUCUAUUAUGAGUUCUCCUGUUGAUUUGGGGCAGGUAAUAUAAACUUUUAUGUAAAUUUAUUUUUUGGAUGCUUAAUUUCUUCCGAAAACAAAUAGUGUUUAUCAUCACCAAGUUGUACAAAGAAUAUUUUAAAGUGUUUUUUAACCAAUCUAUUGUCAAGUUUUCUGGCGGGUUUCUUAUUUUAUUUUUCGUUGUUUUGCAAGAAACCAGAGCCUUUCCAUGCUCAAGAGUUCCACAGGUAUGUCACCGCUCUUUUACAUAUUUCUGCUUUGAUUUCCAAUACGAGGUUAAAGCCUUUGUUUUCCCUCAAAGGACAUAAAUUAUGUGUUUUCUUUAAUCAUUUUGUUAUAAUAGUGAACCCAUUUCAAUUUAUUACCAACUGAAUCCUAAUUUGUUCAAUUUCUUUUCAUCUGGCAAUUGAGUGUGGUUGUUUGUCAUUCUCUUUGAGGUGAGAUAAAGUUUAUGUCUGUAAAUAUAUGUAUCUUAACAACAACCAUGGGGGUUGCUAAUGGCUUUUUUAUUCACUAAAUUUUUUUUUUUUUCAAGUGCUUCUCUAGAAUUUAAUCCUUUUUGUCAUUAUAUAUAUUGCAGAAAUUACAAGCUAUGCUACAAUCCCAGUUAGUGUUUUAAGUUGUUAACUUACUAUUUAAACUUCAAUUUUCCAGCCCCAUUACGAAAAUUUGCUAGGCUUUUCAGGUGAUGUACAUCCGUUGCCGACCAGGGUGGACUGUGCAUCAAAGAUAUAUAUCUUUGUGUGUCUAUUUACUUACCCUUUUCGAACUUUAUACUUCUCGAGUGAAAUGGUAAUUUAAUUUCUUAAGCUUACCGUUUAUCGCUGUAAAAGAGAGUCCAACCACAACGACUGAAUUGAUUAUCUUCAUGCAUAAGGAUACUAGAUUCCCUAGUCUAAAAGAUUUUAAAAUCAUCACAAACCUCCCUUUUUUCUUUUCUAUUGCAAUUUCUGGAUUAUUAUAUGAUGAUUUUUUAACUUUCCAUAUAUAUAUAUAUAUAGAAAUAGAAAGAGAUGGACUAGAAACGACAUCUCUUAUCUCAAUGACACCAAAGGGAUUUUAAAUGAAUGGAAUUGGGUGGCCUAUUUUCUGAGCAUUAUAAUGUCUACGUUUACACAUUAUCCAACUUGCUUCCAGGAAAUUAAGAUUAUUAAAUGCAUGUAUAGAAUUUUGUUUAAGGGGAGAAAGAAUUUUGAAUUUUAGUCUUUAUUUGAUUCUUAAAUAUUUGUAUAAUUCAAGGAAAGAACAUGUAUGCUUUUUUGGUGGAUUUGAUUCAAAUUGGUGGAUUUCGGUAAGAAAGAAACUUUAAUUUUUUCUUUUGGCGGUUUUAAGAACUGAAAUGGACAUGCAUGAGAUUGAAGAAUUUUUGGUUUAUCUUACUGGGAUGAGAGGGUAUUGUCAGAACAAUUGUUUAGCAUGACAGUAUUAAAUAAUCAAUUUGAUAAAUUAAAAUGGUGUGAUUGAAUAAGAUUAUCUGUUGGGUGAACCUAUAUAUGCUUGAUAAAUUGUUUAAUGAAUUUUCAAUCUCUGUGUAUUUGAGAUUGCCUCUUUUUUCUUUUUUUUUUAAUUUAAAUUUUAUUUGUUCAUGGUCAAGGAAAAUUCUGGUACCCAAAUCAUUUGACUUAAUUUUAUUUCCAGUUUUAAAAGUUUUUCCUGUAAUUUUCUGUAAUAAAAGUAUUGUUUUGUUGCAAAAAGCAGGGCCACUCUGUUUAGGGCUUGAAGAUUUCUACAUUCACCAGGUUUAUCUUCGACUUCAGCAUCGUGCAGGCACCGUUGCUAGUAUAUACUAAAACCGUGUCCGAUUUUUUCAACUUUGCCAUUUUACCACUUCCUGCCUACUCCCCCCUCUCGCUCUUGCUCACCGCUUCAUGCCGCUUUAUCUCCUUUGUCGCUCACAAUCAUUGCAAACAACCCCAAACCAACAAAUCCAUUUUCGCAAUUUCUCUUAGAAUCGCGGCUUCUCUCUCGCUCAUCGCUUGCAAAUCUCAACCGCAGCCGCACUACAAACCCAUCUGGACGGAAAACCCAUAAAGAAAUCUUGGUCGUCGACCGACAACCGGACUGCAACAUCGUCUUGACUCACCCCAGCAUUAGCAGAUUCUAGCUUCAAGCCCUCUCCGACCCUUCUACCCAAAAGCUCUCUCACUGAUUUGUCAUCAGAUCAUAUCAAGCUCCAUUCAUGUCCACUUCUAUUCAUAAGAGCCCAUCUUCUGUCAAUAGCAACAAUGGAGGCUAGGCCUGAAGCCGAACCAGAACCAAAAGAAAUUGAAGAGAGUUAUGAACCUCUUCUCAAAUACAAGAUUUUGCAACAUCGGUUGCAUGGGAGAUAGGGAAGCCGUUGGUGAUGUAGAGGGUGAAGGUUGCUCCACCUAAGGCCAUGUAAAUAAGGGUAAGGGUCAAUAUACCUCAGUUUAUCACACUGAACUCUACUUCUGCCGAAGGUCAGCAAUAAUAGCUACUACAUACAUAUAAUAUACAUAAUACACACACACACACACGUGUAUCUAUAUAUAUAUAUAUAUAUAUAUAUAUAUAUGAUUUUAUAUGAUUAACCCUUAAGAACACACACGCACGCGCACACACACAUAUCUAUAUAUAUAUAUGAUUUUAUAUGAUUAACCUUUAAGAAUUGCAGAUUUGUAAACUAUGAGUAGAGUUUUCUAGGCACAUUUACUUCGGGUGAAUACAUUGUUGUUCAUUUUGGCCUUCUUUCCAAAAUCAAGCCCCUUGCUCAGUUGGACAAAGUUUUCAUCCUCAGUUGCGCCAUACCGACAUGUUUGGUGUCCUACUCAAUGAUUUAGAGUGUUGAAUAUACAUCCUAAAUUGAUACUAAAUAUUGAAUCAUUUGAACCAUACUGAAUAUUUUGUUUUUUAAUAUCAGGUUUGGGUGCCCCUCUCAAUGUAGCAAAAACAAAAAAUUAUCCUCAGUUGCUGUUUAUUGGCCUCGCUGCUAUUGAAGGUGCAAGAAUUUCUGGGGCACCACUAAGUAUUGGGGUGGAGUCGGUGGACCUGAAGCCCAAGAGGUUUGACAAAGGUAUUUAUUUAUUUAUUUUUUACGUUUGGAUUUGUAUUAUUAUAUCCAGAUGCGGAAUAGUGAUAAACUCUUUCGAUGUAAGUCUUCCUCCAUACCAAUGUUAUGUAUAGAGAGAGAGGAAUAAGCUUAAGCUACUUAUGAGUUGGAAUUAAACUUGGGAUGUGGAGUUUCUUUACAUAAGUGGCUUUUAGGGUGAUGAAUCAAACUCAAAAUCUCAAA